UCCUACGGGAGGCAGCAGUGGGGAAUUUUCCGCAAUGGGCGAAAGCCUGACGGAGCAAUACCGCGUGAGGGAAGACGGCCUAUGGGUUGUAAACCUCUUUUUUCAGGGAGGAAUUUUGACGUGUACCUGAAGAAUAAGCAUCGGCUAACUCCGUGCCAGCAGCCGCGGUAAGACGGAGGAUGCAAGUGUUAUCCGGAAUCACUGGGCGUAAAGCGUCUGUAGGUGGUUUAAUAAGUCAACUGUUAAAUCUUGAGGCUCAACUUCAAAAUCGCAGUCGAAACUAUUAGACUAGAGUAUAGUAGAGGUAAAGGGAAUUUCCAGUGGAGCGGUGAAAUGCGUAGAUAUUGGAAAGAACACCGAUGGCGAAAGCACUUUACUGGGCUAUUACUAACACUCAGAGACGAAAGCUAGGGUAGCAAAUGGGAUUAGAUGCCCCAGUAGUCCUAGCCGUAAACUAUGGAUACUAGAUGUUGAACAGAUCGACCUGUGCAGUAUCAAAGCUAACGCGUUAAGUAUCCCGCCUGGGAAGUAUGCUCGCAAGAGUGAAACUCAAAGGAAUUGACGGA
RNAcentral lists this ribosomal RNA (566 nucleotides) under uncultured bacterium. RNAcentral describes it as "bacterial SSU rRNA". It matches the Rfam family "Bacterial small subunit ribosomal RNA", at positions 337 to 917 of the family's 1533-position model. The record is from RNAcentral.